AUAAAAGAUUACACGUUGUAAUUUCUCCUAAAUUUAUUCGCACAGUUUCAUUCCUUUUUUUUUUUUUUUUUAAUUUCCUUUUAUUCCUUUUUCUUUGGGUGGGUUUUUUAAGUGACGUUAUAACUUCUCUCUCCCACCCACUUCUCAACUUUCUGAAGAUGGUUUUUGAUUCUUAUCCAUCUCCAUUAUUUUAAAAUUUAUUUUUUUGUUCUAUUUAAACGAUCAGCCUUUUCGGUUUAUUCCCCUCUUUUCCUCUGAAUAUAUUGGUUGGAUAGAUAUUUUUUAUUUACUCUCUGUUUUUCUGUUUCCGUGUGGUUUUGCUGGAUUGGUGCUUAUUUUUGUGCGAUUAGAUUAGUGUUCUAUGUGUUAGUUGUGCGAUAGUGAGUGUAGCAUCCUGCGUGCGUGUUUUAAUUUUGUUUUAAUUUUUGGAUGAUGAAUAAGAUGGGAGCUUAAUCCGCUUAGACUGGUUCUUGAGUCCGCCAUUAAUAGUGUUUUUGAUUAGCUUUUUUUGAUUUUUUGAUGGAGUUGUAAUGGGCUUAAUGAGUUUAGUUUUGUUCUUGAUUGAGAAAGCUUUUUUUGCUAUUGAAUAAGAAGAAGUGAGUUUUUUUCUUGAUAGUGAUUGGCUGAUUACUUUCACCAUCAUCUUCUGAAUCUAACAACAUUCUUAAUUUUUUUGUGGCUGUUGUUGGUUUUGAUUGGCAGAAGAAAUGAAUAUUGAAGUGAAGAAAAGUAGCAAGAUUAGAUAGAGAAAUGAAUAUUUUUAGAUAGUGUUGUAACUGGUUGACGGUUGGCUGUCGAUUAUCCCGGUUCUGCUACACGACGAUUUAAGGAUCACAAAUGUCAAUGACGAACACGAGUGAGAAACAAGUAAUAGUUUUCGUGGUGUAUGAAUUAGUCGAACAAAUGCAAGUACUGGGGAAAGUGCCGAGGCUCUCGCCAGUGCGAUCAACGAUAUAUCGAAACAAGAUAAAGAAGCGGGCGACGAUUCAAUGGGUGGAGACCACAUACCGCAACCUGCCAUGCACUCCAACGAGAAUGACUCGGAGAACAUGUCCUCAUUGCACGGUGAAGGUUACAUGUCUAAUAUGCAAGGUGAAGGGACUUCAACCUCACAUCAAAGUAGGGGUAAAAAGAAAGGCAACAAGCGUUCCCGAAACGAUGACCUCGAUGGUCGUAUCGUGGAUAUGAUGGCGGAUAUGACUAGGACUUUUGCGGAGACUAAAACAUGCCUAGGCGAGUUGGCCCACCGUAUUGGUUUUGAGCACAAUGCGUCAACUACACGUAAAAAGGUGUUGGAUGCCCUAUCGCCGUUAUGUUUAGGUGUCGAGGAUAAGAUUACUGUCGCUAAAGCCGUUUGCAAUAGCCCAACCGAUCUCGACAUCUUUUUCAGAUUAAAUGAAACUGAAAAGGGGGUUAUGGUUCGAAUGAUCCUCGAAGGGCGCUACUUCGGUUAGCUAGAAUAUCAUCCACUCACAAGGUGAAGAAACUUUUUCCCGUAUUCGGACCCUAUCUUACGGCGUUAUUUGCAUUGAAGACAUUUCUGUUAGUUUUUCCGUAUGAACUUAUAAAUUUUGGCCGAUUAUAUGUCUGUAAAUAUUCUGUUAGUUUGGAGCUACUAUGCCUAAAUGGUAAGCUAAAAAAAUAUUUUGUUAUUUAGGAGCUACUGGUCAAUUUGAAACAUGUUCAGGGGAUGUGUAAUAUUCCAAGAUUUAUGUCAAUAUGCAUGCGUUAUAUUCACACUGCAACAGGUUAUAGUUGCAGGCCUUCGUGC
Non-coding RNA from Erythranthe guttata (spotted monkey flower), 1771 nucleotides. Lineage: Eukaryota; Viridiplantae; Streptophyta; Magnoliopsida; Lamiales; Phrymaceae. The record is from RefSeq and is a predicted model, not a curated record.